GACGAACGCUGGCGGCGUGCUUAACACAUGCAAGUCGAACGGAAAGGCCCUGCUUUUGUGGGGUGCUCGAGUGGCGAACGGGUGAGUAACACGUGAGUAACCUGCCCUUGACUUUGGGAUAACCUCAGGAAACUGGGGCUAAUACCGGAUAGGAGCUCCUGCUGCAUGGUGGGGGUUGGAAAGUUUCGGCGGUUGGGGAUGGACUCGCGGCUUAUCAGCUUGUUGGUGGGGUAGUGGCUUACCAAGGCUUUGACGGGUAGCCGGCCUGAGAGGGUGACCGGCCACAUUGGGACUGAGAUACGGCCCAGACUCCUACGGGAGGCAGCAGUGGGGAAUAUUGCACAAUGGGCGGAAGCCUGAUGCAGCAACGCCGCGUGCGGGAUGACGGCCUUCGGGUUGUAAACCGCUUUCGCCUGUGACGAAGCGUGAGUGACGGUAAUGGGUAAAGAAGCACCGGCUAACUACGUGCCAGCAGCCGCGGUGAUACGUAGGGUGCGAGCGUUGUCCGGAUUUAUUGGGCGUAAAGGGCUCGUAGGUGGUUGAUCGCGUCGGAAGUGUAAUCUUGGGGCUUAACCCUGAGCGUGCUUUCGAUACGGGUUGACUUGAGGAAGGUAGGGGAGAAUGGAAUUCCUGGUGGAGCGGUGGAAUGCGCAGAUAUCAGGAGGAACACCAGUGGCGAAGGCGGUUCUCUGGGCCUUUCCUGACGCUGAGGAGCGAAAGCGUGGGGAGCGAACAGGCUUAGAUACCCUGGUAGUCCACGCUGUAAACGGUGGGUACUAGGUGUGGGGUCCAUUCCACGGGUUCCGUGCCGUAGCUAACGCUUUAAGUACCCCGCCUGGGGAGUACGGCCGCAAGGCUAAAACUCAAAGGAAUUGACGGGGCCCCGCACAAGCGGCGGAGCAUGCGGAUUAAUUCGAUGCAACGCGUAGAACCUUACCUGGGUUUGACAUGGAUCGGGAGUGCUCAGAGAUGGGUGUGCCUCUUUUGGGGUCGGUUCACAGGUGGUGCAUGGCUGUCGUCAGCUCGUGUCGUGAGAUGUUGGGUUAAGUCCCGCAACGAGCGCAACCCUUGUUCACUGUUGCCAGCACGUUAUGGUGGGGACUCAGUGGAGACCGCCGGGGUCAACUCGGAGGAAGGUGGGGAUGACGUCAAGUCAUCAUGCCCCUUAUGUCCAGGGCUUCACGCAUGCUACAAUGGCUGGUACAGAGAGUGGCGAGCCUGUGAGGGUGAGCGAAUCUCGGAAAGCCGGUCUCAGUUCGGAUUGGGGUCUGCAACUCGACCUCAUGAAGUCGGAGUCGCUAGUAGUCGCAGAUCAGCAACGCUGCGGUGAAUACGUUCCCGGGGCU
This 1346-nucleotide ribosomal RNA is filed under the name uncultured bacterium. RNAcentral's name for it is "partial 16S ribosomal RNA". It matches the Rfam family "Bacterial small subunit ribosomal RNA", at positions 28 to 1381 of the family's 1533-position model. The record is from RNAcentral.